GUGCCAGCCGCCGCGGUAAUACGUAGGGGGCGAGCGUUGUCCGGAAUUACUGGGCGUAAAGGGUGCGUAGGCGGGCUGUCAAGUCUGAUGUGAAAACUCGGGGCUUAACCCCGAGGUUGCAUUGGAAACUGGCAGUCUUGAGUGCAGGAGAGGGGAGCGGAAUUCCCGGUGUAGCGGUGGAAUGCGUAGAUAUCGGGAGGAACACCAGUGGCGAAGGCGGCUCUCUGGACUGCAACUGACGCUGAGGCACGAAAGCUGGGGGAGCAAACAGGAUUAGAUACCCUGGUAGUCCCAGCCGUAAACGAUGGAUACUAGGUGUUGGUGGGUUUACCUGCCAGUGCCGCAGCUAACGUGGUAAGUAUCCCGCCUGGGGAGUACGGUCGCAAGACUGAAACUUAAAGAAAUUGACGG
Molecule: ribosomal RNA, 411 nt
Filed under: uncultured bacterium
Lineage: Bacteria
Description: bacterial SSU rRNA
Rfam family: Bacterial small subunit ribosomal RNA
Source: RNAcentral